This 408-nucleotide ribosomal RNA is filed under the name uncultured bacterium. RNAcentral's name for it is "partial 16S ribosomal RNA". It matches the Rfam family "Bacterial small subunit ribosomal RNA", at positions 28 to 526 of the family's 1533-position model. The record is from RNAcentral.
GACGAACGCUGGCGGCGUGCUUAACACAUGCAAGUCGAACGAAGUGGCGAACGGGUGAGUAACGCGUAAUCAACCUGCCCUUCAGAGGGGGACAACAGUUGGAAACGACUGCUAAUACCGAAUACUGAAGGAGGGGAUUGCGUUUGAUUGGCUAGUUGGGGGGGUAACGGCCCACCAAGGCGAUGAUCAGUAGCCGGUCUGAGAGGGUGAACAGCCACAUUGGGACUGAGGCACGGCCCAGACUCCUACGGGAGGCAGCAGUGGGGAAUCUUCCGCAAUGGACGAAAGUCUGACGGAGCAACGCCGCGUGAGAGAUGACGGCCUUCGGGUUGUAAAGCUCUGUUAAUCGGGACGCGGUACCGGAAUAGAAAGCCACGGCUAACUUCGUGCCAGCAGCCGCGGUAAUUC